UUUGUUCAAUUCUUCUGAAACAGAUACUGUUGAUAACGCCUGUGAUGCAGAAUGCACACCUUAUCUUAUGGGGUGAUAUUGAUCGGAGAUGCGCUUUGGGGGCAACUUUCGCAAGAUGAAGAGCACCAGAGCAGAAGCCCAAAACAGCACUAGCAAUGUAUAUGUUGAGAAAAAUAGAAGACUGGGAAGAUCCAGAAGCACAAUUUCAAGGGCCUGCAUGAAGAUGAAAUUAGGUGCAGCGCACGUGAACGGAAGUAAGAUUAUUUCCGUAGCGCCUCAGAGUGGAUUAAUCAUUGGAGAAACCAUGUUACUGCAGGUUCAUAUACGCAUUGAAUCCAAUAAAGAAAAUUCCAAGCUUUAGCGAAACUGAAAAGAAGUUAAAGGAAAAAGAAAACAAAAAGAAAAAGUCUACUACAGGUGGGCUGCUGAUAAUUCAGCAUCUAUGUGUUUCUUUGUUUUGUCAGGUCAAUUUAUUUGAGCACCCUGCUAACCGCCUCUGAACAACAUUUGUGCUUCACAAAUACUAAUAAGAAAGAGUUCAAAUUUCACCUGGAAUUUGUGAUACAGAAGACAAGAGACCUUCAAUAUAUUUCAGUUCAAAAUUUGAUUAUUAGUGACUUCUCAGCGUCACAUCUGUAAAACUACUUGCCACUUUUAUUCUCUUUAUGGUGCCGAUGGCAAAGAGGUAAAUCGUAAUUUUAUAGGUAGAGGUGUUAGAGAUUUAAAACCAUUCUUGCAGCCUCACAUAAAAGCUUAAGGUUUUGGGUUCA
Molecule: long non-coding RNA, 770 nt
Organism: Ricinus communis (castor bean)
Lineage: Eukaryota; Viridiplantae; Streptophyta; Magnoliopsida; Malpighiales; Euphorbiaceae
Exons: 2
Source: RefSeq, a predicted model, not a curated record